This 654-nucleotide ribosomal RNA is filed under the name Penicillium sp. 11 BRM-2015. RNAcentral describes it as "eukaryotic LSU rRNA". The stretch from base 169 to 339 matches the Rfam family "5.8S ribosomal RNA". The record is from RNAcentral. Lineage: Eukaryota; Fungi; Ascomycota; Eurotiomycetes; Eurotiales; Aspergillaceae.
UGGAGAAUAUCGAGCCAUCUGGUCACCUCCCACCCGUGUUUAUUUUACCUUGUUGCUUCGGCGAGCCUGCCUUUUGGCUGCCGGGGGACAUCUGUCCGGGUCCGCGCUCGCGAAGACACCUUAGAACUCUGUCUGAAGAUUGUAGUCUGAGAUUAAAUAUAAAUUAUAAACUUUCAAACAACCGGAUCCUCUUGGUUCCGGCAUCCGAUGAAGAACGCACCGAAAUGCGAUACGUAAUGGGGAAUUGCAGAAUUCAGGUGAAUCAUCGGAGUCUUUUGAACCGCAACAUUGCGCGCCCUCUUUGGUUAUUCCGAGAGGGCUAUGCCUUGUUCCGAGCCGCUCAUUGCCUGCCCCUCAAGCCACGGCUUGUGUGUUGUUGGGCCUCCGUCCUCUCCUUCCGGGGGACGGGGCCCGAAAGGGAAGCGGCGGGCACCGGCGUCCGGUCUUCAAGCGGUAUGGGGGCUUUGUCACCCCGCUUUGUAGACCUGGCCGCCCCUGCCCGUAUAACCCAAAUUCCAGGUGUGACCUCGAAUCAGGGAGGGGAUACCGCCUGAACUUAAGCAUACAGAGAGGGGGAGAAGAAAUGUUCCCCUGAGAAACCCCCUUUAUUUUUCCUUGUGGCCGCCCUCUUUGGGGUUAAUCUCCCCGAAAAGU